UCUCUUUGAUAUUUUUAUCCUUUUCAAAAUUACAGCAGAAACAAAAUAGGGGGCCAACAUCGAUGCCCCUCUACCCAAACAUCUCGCCAGCACCUCCAAUCGACGGCUUGAUGCAUCUUCCGAUAUGAAAACACCAGUUCGCUGGUGAUCAAGCGAGGGGAAUCAUCGGCAAAUCAAGAUCCAGUGGUUUCCUUUUUUUUUGUUUUGUUUGAAAAUAAAGGGGUUAGGGCCGGCGUCUGGCACCACCACCCAUCGGGGUAGCCACCGUAUGCCCAGAUGGCCCCACC
This 287-nucleotide long non-coding RNA is filed under the name Elaeis guineensis (African oil palm). Its description in RNAcentral is "long non-coding RNA (EGUI_LNC034505)". The record is from RNAcentral. Lineage: Eukaryota; Viridiplantae; Streptophyta; Magnoliopsida; Arecales; Arecaceae.